This 82-nucleotide transfer RNA is filed under the name Capnocytophaga sp. Its description in RNAcentral is "tRNA-Tyr". It matches the Rfam family "tRNA". From Rfam's summary of the family: Transfer RNA (tRNA) molecules are approximately 80 nucleotides in length. Their secondary structure includes four short double-helical elements and three loops (D, anti-codon, and T loops). Further hydrogen bonds mediate the characteristic L-shaped molecular structure. tRNAs have two regions of fundamental functional importance: the anti-codon, which is responsible for specific mRNA codon recognition, and the 3' end, to which the tRNAs corresponding amino acid is attached (by aminoacyl-tRNA synthetases). tRNAs cope with the degeneracy of the genetic code in two manners: having more than one tRNA (with a specific anti-codon) for a particular amino acid; and 'wobble' base-pairing, i.e. permitting non-standard base-pairing at the 3rd anti-codon position. RNAcentral also lists the same sequence under 4 other names. The record is from RNAcentral. Lineage: Bacteria; Pseudomonadati; Bacteroidota; Flavobacteriia; Flavobacteriales; Flavobacteriaceae.
GGGGAGAUACUCAAGCGGCCAACGAGGGCAGACUGUAAAUCUGCUGGUUAUACCUUCACAGGUUCGAAUCCUGUUCUCCCCA